Molecule: ribosomal RNA, 465 nt
Filed under: Vreelandella stevensii
Lineage: Bacteria; Pseudomonadati; Pseudomonadota; Gammaproteobacteria; Oceanospirillales; Halomonadaceae
Description: partial 16S ribosomal RNA
Rfam family: Bacterial small subunit ribosomal RNA
Source: RNAcentral
CCUACGGGAGGCUGCAGUGGGGAAUAUUGGACAAUGGGGGGAACCCUGAUCCAGCCAUGCCGCGUGUGUGAAGAAGGCCCUCGGGUUGUAAAGCACUUUCAGUGGGGAAGAACGCCUGGUGGUUAAUACCCAUCAGGAAAGACAUCACUCACAGAAGAAGCACCGGCUAACUCCGUGCCAGCAGCCGCGGUAAUACGGAGGGUGCGAGCGUUAAUCGGAAUUACUGGGCGUAAAGCGCGCGUAGGUGGCUUGAUAAGCCGGUUGUGAAAGCCCCGGGCUCAACCUGGGAACGGCAUCCGGAACUGUCAAGCUAGAGUGUAGGAGAGGAAGGUAGAAUUCCCGGUGUAGCGGUGAAAUGCGUAGAGAUCUGGAGGAAUACCAGUGGCGAAGGCGGCCUUCUGGACUGAGACUGACGCUGAGGUGCGAAAGCGUGGGUAGCAAACAGGAUUAGAUACCCGAGUAGUC